UCGCGGUUAGACGAAGAAUUUUAGUAGAGUAAAAGUUUUGUUUAGUUAACAUUCGAUCUCGUAAAAGAUGGUGAAAUUUUGUUGAUAAGGUGAAAUUUUUAAUUUAAGGGAAAUUCUUAAGAAAUUUGUUGAGACUAAAAAAUUUAGGUAAAAAACCAGGAUUAGAUACCCUGUUAUUCUAAAUAAUAGUGUAAAUAGGGUAGUAAAAGUUGUUCUUCAAACCCAAAGAUUUUGGCGGCAUCUUAUCCUAAUAGAGGAGCUUGUCCUAUAAUUGAUAGUCCCCAUUUUAUCUUACCCUUUUUUGUUAAGCUUGUAUACCGUCGUUGUCAGAUUACUUUAAAAGAACGUUUUCAGGAAAAAUAUUUUUCUUACUUCAGGUCAAGGUGCAGUUUAUAAAAGGGCAGUGAUGAGCUACAAUUUUUAAUAGCAAAUACGGAUUUUAGGCUUAAAACUCAGGUGAAGGUGGAUUUAUUAGUAAAUUUACUUAAGUACAGUAAGUUGAAUAAGGCAAUAGGAUGUGCACAUAUCGCCCGUCACUCUCUUCUCAAGAGGAGAUAAGUCGUAACAAACUAG
This 573-nucleotide ribosomal RNA is filed under the name Daphnia pulex (common water flea). RNAcentral describes it as "partial 12S ribosomal RNA". The stretch from base 198 to 573 matches the Rfam family "Microsporidia small subunit ribosomal RNA", at positions 752 to 1282 of the family's 1311-position model. Lineage: Eukaryota; Metazoa; Arthropoda; Branchiopoda; Diplostraca; Daphniidae. The record is from RNAcentral.